AUGGAGGAGCAUAUAAUGCAGGCUGAAGUUCUCAACAUCACUGUUGGACAACUCCUCGAGAUCGAGCCCAUGCCUUUGCUUAGAGAGGAUGAAGUAAAACGGAAAUAUGUCCGGGGCCAACCUUUGGUCGCGCCAGACAAGGUCAAGAACCUCCCAACGAGAAUGUAUGAAUUGCAUCAAUGGUACAUGAACAUUACCAAGAUUUCAGAUCGAUUGUCCCUCAUGGUGAAUGUCAAGCAGGACCAUUACUACCAUCAGAAAGCUGUGUCCGUUGAGUAUUUAGAACUGUUUCAGUUAUACAAUCAAGACGCACUCGACAAAUCUAUCGUUAGUUGCUAUUGUUUGAUGAAGAUAUAUGAAAUGAGAAAAGGUGGACGCUUUGGCAUUGGGUUCAUUGACCCAAACACUGUUAAUGAAUACACAUGGAAGAUAAAUCAACAUUAUGCAAAGGAAGUAGAGGACAACAUGCUAGAGUUCUUGAAGCGCCUCAAAUAG
RNAcentral lists this ribosomal RNA (495 nucleotides) under Triticum aestivum (bread wheat). Its description in RNAcentral is "partial small subunit ribosomal RNA". Lineage: Eukaryota; Viridiplantae; Streptophyta; Magnoliopsida; Poales; Poaceae. The record is from RNAcentral.